This 3260-nucleotide long non-coding RNA is filed under the name Fragaria vesca (wild strawberry). Its description in RNAcentral is "long non-coding RNA (FVES_LNC002182)". Lineage: Eukaryota; Viridiplantae; Streptophyta; Magnoliopsida; Rosales; Rosaceae. The record is from RNAcentral.
UAACUUGAUUUUUUGGCUAAUUCAAAAAAAUAUUUCAUCAAAGACACCAAAAGAGUGCGUAGUUUUCUGAUAUAAUAUAGAUAUAUCAGCUUCCUCCUCAUGUCUAAAUGUGUAAUAGGUAUCAAAUUCAUGAGAGUAGUAAAUGAGCUGCAAUAUAAUAGACUAGAGAAUGAGCCAAGUAUACCUCAUUUGAAACUUCAAAUUUCAGAUUCUCAAAACUAAAGACGUUCGAUCUCUUGCUUUCCUUAUAGUUUUAGGGGGUUAUCGGAAAUGCCAAUUCUUGAAGAUUUGGAAGAAAAUAUAUACACCGUAUUCGAUCUUGUGCUUUGCAUGUGCCUCCUCAUGUCUUAUCUUCAUGAAGGACCGCUCGACCCACUCAUGGUAUCAAGUCGGUGCGAACUCAGUGAGCCAAAGAGAACGAGUCGGAUGAUGACUAGGGCAGUAAUGGUGGUGACCACGUGAGGCUUACGUAGCCUAGAUAUUGGCGUAAAGUGGCUUGGGUUGGGCUGUUUGGGUUUUGAGGCCCACGUUUUCGAUUUUUUCGUAGUGGCGUGUCCCGCGAAACCGAUUUUCUUUUGGGCCAAUUACAUAUAAGUCCACUUUGAGACAUUUUUUCCCACAUAGAUCCACCCUAACAUUUUUACCCACAUAAGUCCACCCAAGUCUAAAUAAGGUUUUGUAUUAAGUAUUGAAGUUCAACAUAAUUACAGACUGCCAUCCAACAAAAAAAAUUAGAUUUUCUUCCUUAUAUUUACAAGAAUGCUACUAGUAUAAAAAGUCAACAACCACUCUCAUUUCGGAACAGUCUCCGGCGGACCUCCAGCGAGAUUUCCAGCAGACCUCCGGCGAGGUUUCAGGCGGACCUCCGGCGAGGUUUUCGGCCGACGUCCGGCGAGAUUUCCGACUGACCUCCGGCGAGGUUUCCGUUCGACUUCCGACGAUGACAAAAAUUACUACUACCAGCUAUAAAAGCUACUACCACCAGCUACAAAAGCUACUACCACCGCCUACAAAAGAUACUACUGUGAGGUUUCCGAUGAACACAAAAGCUACUACCACUAGCCACAAAAACUACUACCACAAGCUACAAAAGCUACUACCACCGCCUACAAAAGCUACUACUGUGAGGUUUCCGACGAACACAAAAACUACUACCACCAGCUACAAAAGCUAUUACCACCGCCUACAAAAGCUACUACCACCGCCUACAAAAGCUACUACUGUGAGGUUUUCGACGAACACAAAAACUACUAGCACCAGCCACAAAAGCUACUACCACCAGCUACAAAAGCUACUAUCACCGCCUACAAAAGCUACUAUUGUGAGGUUUCCGACGAACACAAAAAAUACUACCAUCAGCCACAAAAGCUACUACCACCGCCUACAAAAGCUACUACCACCGCCUACAAAAGCUACUACCGCUACCAACAUAACGCUACCAACAAAAGCUACUACCGAGAUAAACAAAAGCUACUACCGAGAUAAACAAAAGCUACCACCAACAUAAACAAAAGCUACUACCCCUAUAUACAAAAGCUACCACCACAACAAAAGUUAUUACCGACAUAAACAAAAGCUAUUACCAACAUAAACAAAAGCUAUUACCAACAUAAACAAAAGCUACUACCCCUAUAUACAAAAACUACUACUGCCAGACAUAAAAGCUAUUGCCUCCAUCAAUAUAAGCUACUACCGUUACCAACAAAAAAUACUACUCUAACUAACAAAAGCUACUGCUGUCACUGACAAAAACUACUACAAGAUAUUUACUCAACCAUAAAAACAAACAAACAAUUAUUAGAAGAUUAAAGCUUAAGCAUAAAAGGAAAUCAAGAGAAUUGCAGAUCGGAUCCGGCGGCCGACGACGACAGAAAAGACGUCGCUCCGUCGACGGAGCUCCCAUCUUCGCUCGCUGCGGAUGAUGAGUCACGAAAUUCCUCAGCGUUUGACCGAUCAGAAAUACGAUCGAACGCGACUGAUUGGAGAUGAUGAAGGAUGCCUCGCUAGGUCUGCAUUUCUGAGAUCGAAGGACACCUCGUUAGGUCGGCAUAUCCGAGAUCCCAUAGGACUAAACGUAGCGACGACGUUGAGGCCUUCCUCGAGAUUGACGUCGUUCUCCUUGACCGGUGUGCCUCUCAACCAAACCUUCUUCGUCGAGGCCAUCGCUGCCUACCGGAUUAGAUCAUCCACAUCAUUGUUGAGAUCCAGAUCGUCGGCGUCAACUUUAUGGAUCACGCAGAUGCAAAGAUCGCCGUUGCGGUGUCCUUGAGCACGGCGGAGCCACCGUCUCGGUUGACCAUCGUAUGUUUGAGAGAGAGAAAGAGAGGUGUGCGGCGGCGACGUCGUCGGAAUCGGAGGUGGAAGAAUAAGGAGAGAGAAGUCGAGCGAAAGGCAGAAAGAGAAAGGAGAGGGAGAGAGAGAGGUGUGUGAGAGGGAUAAAUUUUUAGUACAGGGGUAAAAUAGUCAGGAUGUAAUAAUUUGAGAAAGAAAAGUGGACUUAUCUGGGUAAAAAAAUCAGAGUGAACUUGUGUGGGAGAAAAUACGGAGAAUGUGACUUAAAUGAAAUUUUCUAUUUUCUUUUCACGUGGGGCCAGCGCGUGACCAAGACCUACAAGUUGUUCAAAGACCUACAAGUUGAACACUUUUGGGGGAAGAAGAUGGAGGCAUAGUUGGGUGAUGCAUGGUCCUCUGUGCAUUUCAGAAAAGAUCGAUCCCACUCUUCUUUUUACAGAACCAUGCAUGUGCCCUCUUAUAUCACUUUCUUCUUGCAUUAUUGGGUGGUGCUUGCUUAGAUGCAUCAAUGCAUUAGAAACUUGAUCAACGUUGAUGAAUAUGUAUAUGUAUGUCACUAACUCUAAAGUAUGUUUUAAUUAAACCUGAUUUAGCUGACAUGAUCUCUCGAUGUGAAUUAGUCUGGGUCUAAAAAGAAGAUACUGACGUUGAUAAUCUAAAAAAAAAAUUAAACCUGGUUUAGUGCAUACUCUUUGUACUUUGCUCUAAAAUAGGAGCGCUAUUUUAUAUUUUUUUUCAGCUGUCUUCACUUAUCUUUUCUAAUAAAUAGCAAACGAAUGCGCACCAUUGUGAGAUCACGCUAGCCUAAUUUUCUUCUCGAGUUUAUCUAGCUUUUCUCUCAAUACCUCUCUAUCGCUGACAUUGAGCUAGCUAGCAGUUGAGACUCAGUCUCCUUGUAUUCUUUGUUAAAUACUUCACUAUCUACUCUCUAUUGCUACACCCAAAACAAAAGUUGAACUUACACCAUA